GUGUCAGCAGCCGCGGUAAUACGGAGGUGGCAAGCGUUGCUCGGAAUUACUGGGCGUAAAGGGCGCGUAGGCGGGGCGAUCAGUCGGGCGUGAAAGCCCCCGGCUCAACCGGGGAACGGCGUCCGAAACUGUCGCUCUUGAGUACCGGAGAGGAGGGUGGAAUUCCCGGUGUAGCGGUGAAAUGUGUAGAUAUCGGGAGGAACACCGGUGGCGAAGGCGGCCCUCUGGACGGAUACUGACGCUGAGGCGCGAAAGCGUGGGGAGCAAACGGGAUUAGAUACCCCUGUAGUCC
Molecule: ribosomal RNA, 292 nt
Filed under: uncultured bacterium
Lineage: Bacteria
Description: partial 16S ribosomal RNA
Rfam family: Bacterial small subunit ribosomal RNA
Source: RNAcentral